Molecule: long non-coding RNA, 2753 nt
Organism: Mangifera indica (mango)
Lineage: Eukaryota; Viridiplantae; Streptophyta; Magnoliopsida; Sapindales; Anacardiaceae
Exons: 5
Source: RefSeq, a predicted model, not a curated record
AAGUCAACAAAAAUAUUCCUUGCAAGGUUUUGCAACAGGUUUCAAUGGCUUAAAGAAGAAAAUAAUAUUUAAACUAGGAAAGAAAAAUCAUCUAAUUGCAAUUGCAUAUUUGAGCUGCAAUUUAAAAAAAUCAAAACGCCUCUCUCAACUCUGAAGCUUUUGAUGAACCCCUUUUAGGAAGAACACAUAGCAUUUUACUCUUUCUUCCUCCUUUAAUAAAAGCUUUCUCAAGAUACUUAAUCUCGGGGCAAAGAGAAUUUGAUCAUAGGGGGGCAGUGUCGAUGGCGGAUGCUAAUAAUAACCCAGCAAGCAAUGUGGCUGUGCUACUGCCCUUGCGUGGAGUUCAACUCCUGAAGCUCGCAAAGCCGCCGUCUCUUACCUUGAAUCUGCCAAAAGGUGGUAAAUUUGCUAAAAAGGCACCCGGGAAAUCUUGAUGUGGUGAUAAAGUUCGAUGUUUUAAUCUCGUAGGAUAUUUGAGCUGUCAAAAAUUGGGAAAGUUCGUGCACUCUUUUGUGGCUGUGAUUUGACUUACUUCUCAGGUAUUAUUGUUUAUUUAAGAAAUGGGUAAUGCGAUGUUAUUCUCCUUUCUAUUGUGAGAAUUUAUUGAGUUUUAGGCCUUAGGAAAAAAAAAAAAAAGAAAGGAAGAAAGAAAAUUUGGUUUCUGUGAAUCCAGGUAUUGUGAUGUUAUUCUACUUUCUAUUGUGAAAACUCAUAAAUUCAGGUAUAAUAUGCUGGGCCUGUCAGCAACCAUUGGAGAAUCAAUUUUAAAUCUUUGGACUUCCAUUCUGUUGCAAUGGCACUGAUGGAGAAUGUACUGUCAAUGGAAUUCAGGCAUAUAAGGCAACUUGUUCAUUCUGUUUUAAUACAUUUGGUUAAAUAUUGCCCUAUUGAUCUGUGGGAGGCCUGGCUGGAAAAGUUGCUGCACCUGUUAUUUGUCCACUGUCAACAAGCUUUUAGCUGCUCUUGGUCCAGCUUUAUGCAUGAAGGUAGAGCAAUGGUUCCAUAUCUCCAUGGGAUUGUUGCUGGAUCUGACUUAAAAGUGGAAGUAAUUGAGGAGAAACGACUUUGUGAUCUGACUAGUGAGAUAUGUUCACUUCUGUCUAUAAUGGCCUCUUCAGGACUAAAUGCUGGGCUUCCUGCUUAAAGCAUUCAGGGCAAUUCACCCAUGUUGACAUGUCUGUGAAAGAUUGGAUUCUUUUGCAUCAAGCUCUAUGAUUGGGUUCCUUUUGAAGCACAAAGAACUUGCCCUUCCAGCGUUCAGAUUUCCAAACAAGCUUUCACAUGGACAGAGGGUGAAGCUGUGACAAAAGUCUCUUCCUUCUCUGCUGCUGUGAUUGUCGUGGCUGUAUCACCAAAUAAUGAGGAGCUUCGAAAGUUUGUUUCAAAAGAUCUGUUUUCUGCAGCUAUUCAAGGUUUUGACCCUUGAGUCAAAUGCUGUUAUCAGCACUGAUCUGGUUGGUCUCUGUCAAUAAAUAAUCGUCUGUUUGUGCGGUAGGGAUCCAGCCCUAGGCAGUCCAGGUUCUACUCUCUCUUCCAUGCAUUUCCCCACAAGAUUUGCCUGCUUUUGAAGAUGCCUUCGCAAAGACACCUAGCCGAAAGGAACAAAAACAACAUAUGAAGAGCUUGCUUUUGUUAGGUACUGCAAACCAGUUAAAAGCACUUGCUUCUCAGAAAAGUGUUAAUGUUAUCACAAACAUUUCAGAGGAAGGGCAUGCAGCUCAUUCAAUGUUACGGAAACUCAAAUUGAAGAGGCGGAAACUGUGAGAUUGUCAGCCAUUUUGUGAAGGAUUCUUAUAAUUUGGCAGUUCUACAGAGAUGAAUUACACAGUUAUUUGACAGAUAUACUGAGGUAAAAGACAUCCUUUUUAUUUUAGCCAUAGCUCUGCCGGGGUUGUGCAACCAGUUCAUCCUCUUAGACUACUUCAAAAUGCAGUUUUGAGUAAAUAUAUAGAAUCAUUAUACCCUUUACAUUUGUCAUCUUGGAAAUGAGGUUUUUACAUGAUUAUGUCGUAUCCCUUGUCUCUCAUUGGCAGUUCUUGCACACAUUUUGUUGCUUUUGAAAUUCUCCUUUCAAGUUUCCCCUUGCGAACUCCAGCAAAGAAAGUUCAAACUUUUAUUUGGGGUAAAAUCUAGAGGACGUCAAAUUUAUAAGGUGAAAUUCUCCACUCUAUACAGGUUCAAACAAUCCACAACAGCUUGUGAGUUCCAGAAGUCAUCUGCAGAUCCAGUCCAGUAGCAGAUGAAUUUGAUUUGAUUUGAUUAUAGUGAUAUUAGUUUCAUUUAUUGCAUAUCCACUCUUUAAUUUCAAUUCAAAUGUGAUCAAGCCUUUAAAUUUGAUGCAUUUAGAAGUUGAGAGCAGCCCUGAAUGGUAGACACUGGAGAAGACUAGCAGGUGGAAAGUGUUUAAUGGUAAUACUUUGUUGAGGAUUAGGAACAAUGUGACAAACUUGGUGGAUGCUUCUGGGUUAAGCAAAAACUUUCCAUUUAUGGGGCCCCGUGCCGUUCUUAAAGCAGUAAUUUUCUGUGUGUUGUGACUUGUGAGGGGCUUUGAGAGUUGAGUGUUGUGUUAAUUGUGUUUGUGGGUGUGUUUAAAGAAAGCCAGCAAGCAAUGCGAGCAGGAGGAGCGGUGGCUUUUGUGACAUUAGCAUAUCGGUUUGAUUUGUUAUAGUAGCAUCUCAAGAGUCACAGCUUGAGUGAUGUUUGUGGUAUUAAUAUAUAUUAUCUUAAUAACAAUUUAUUGAAGGUUGAAAUGA